UUUUUAAUGUAAAUAUGUUCUAUGCCAUAUUUUGGAUACAGUUAAACUAAAA
Molecule: microRNA precursor, 52 nt
Filed under: Marmota monax (woodchuck)
Lineage: Eukaryota; Metazoa; Chordata; Mammalia; Rodentia; Sciuridae
Source: RNAcentral